ACCUAUAAGCCAACAAAUCAAACAUCAUUAGGAUUAAAGCCUCUAAUUAUAACCCAUUAUAAUAACACAUAGUCGUGGUCUCAUGGACAAGUGCCAUUACCUAUUUUGUUGUAUUACUAUACGAUAAACGAGGGGGACUUCAUCUAUUAAACUGGCUUUUUCCUUGCACUCCUUUCAUUUUCUGAAUGUAGGAAUUGAUGGGCA
Molecule: long non-coding RNA, 204 nt
Filed under: Elaeis guineensis (African oil palm)
Lineage: Eukaryota; Viridiplantae; Streptophyta; Magnoliopsida; Arecales; Arecaceae
Description: long non-coding RNA (EGUI_LNC011564)
Source: RNAcentral